Anas platyrhynchos (mallard) is the source of this 1151-nucleotide non-coding RNA. The record is from RefSeq and is a predicted model, not a curated record. Lineage: Eukaryota; Metazoa; Chordata; Aves; Anseriformes; Anatidae.
UGCUCAAGGUCCCAAACACAAAGCCACUGUAGGACCCAUGAAUGCUUACUUGCUCGUUUCCAAAUUUGAGUCGUUGCUGAACGACUUCAUGGGGCAGUAGCAUCAUCAGGGUUUUCCUGUUCUGAGUAGUCACCCCUGAUGUUACCUGUUCAUAGAGUCUCCAAAGCUAUAUCGUAGAAGUCAUCAAAACACUUGCUAUAAUGCUUUUUGUCUCUUUUUUCAAAACCCUGCCGACGCCGCGGACCCUGCCGACGCUGCGGACCCUGCCCGACGCCGCGGACCCUGCCCGACGCCUCACAAGGUAAAGCAAGUGCUCAAGCUCCCAAACACAAAGCCACUGUAGGACCCAUGAAUGCUUACCUGCUCGUUUCCAAAUUUGAGUCGUUGCUGAACGACUUCAUGGGGCAGUAGCAUUAUCAGGCUUUUCCUGUUCUGAGUAGUCACCCCCGAUGUUACCUGUUCAUAGAGUCUCCAAAGCUAUAUCGUAGAAGUCAUCAAAACACUUGCUAUAAUGCUUUUUGUCUCUUUUUUCUAAACUCUGCCGACGCCGCGGACCCUGCUGACGCCGCGGACCCUGCCGACGCCUCACAAGUCUCCCAGCUCAGAGCCAACCAGCUAUUAGUCUGGCGCAACGGAUUUGUGCAUUCCUUGCACUAGCUGUUCCUUCACCUCCUCUUCACGUACAAGGACACGCGUCUCUUUCACGCUCCUUCAGGAGUAAACAAGCCAGGAGAGAUUAAAGCCUCUUUCUCCAGAAAGAUGCUUCUAGUUUCCUUAGUCUCCUUGGAGAGACAGGUAUCUGGAUAUUUAACUUGGAAGAAAGAUGAGCAACACUAGCAAGCUUCCCAAAGCAAAAUUUCCCUUUCCCCCAUACAAGGACGUAAAAAGAUGGGAAUAAUUGUGCAUUUAUGGAAGGCUGUCCCAUGUUUUUCCACUGGUUUUCAUCUGGUUUGGUUCACCUGCAGAAAGGGAAGAAGCACCAGAGCUUAUCUCCAUUUUCAAGAGAAGGCAACUGUUUCUGGGACCAAACUGUCAGGCUACAGCAUACGGAUGUAUCAAACAAAGCUUCACGUCAUCUUUCAAAUCCACCCUUUUAUUCGAAUAUUUCUUGAAAAUUAACAUUAAAAGUAGAUAGUGCUUAUACCAUCAUA